This 126-nucleotide non-coding RNA is filed under the name Tumebacillus flagellatus. Its description in RNAcentral is "Glycine sequence". It matches the Rfam family "Glycine riboswitch aptamer". From Rfam's summary of the family: This family represents the bacterial glycine riboswitch. Glycine riboswitches usually consist of two metabolite-binding aptamers domains with similar structures in tandem. The record is from Rfam by way of RNAcentral. Lineage: Bacteria; Bacillati; Bacillota; Bacilli; Caryophanales; Alicyclobacillaceae.
AUGAUCGCUGACGGGAGAGUUUACAAUGUUCGUGUUUUUUGGGACAUGUAGCGCCGAAGGAGCAAGCGGGGGUUCUGCCCAAGAACACCUUGCGAAUCUCUCAGGCAUAAGGACCGUUGCGGGACG